GGCAGGUACGUGCAGUUGGCGGGGGGAAGACGGAGGGUGCGAGCGGUGGCUGGAAGUACGGGGCGUGAAGAGCUCGUUGGUGGUUUGUCGCGUUGUUCGGGAAAACUCGCAGCUUAACUGUGGGCGUGCGGGCGAUACGGGCAGACUAGAGUACUGCAGGGGAGACUGGAAUUCCUGGUGUAGCGGUGGAAUGCGCAGAUAUCAGGAGGAACACCGGUGGCGAAGGCGGGUCUCUGGGCAGUAACUGACGCUGAGGAGCGAAAGCGUGGGGAGCGAACAGGAUUAGAUACCCUAGUAGUC
RNAcentral lists this ribosomal RNA (300 nucleotides) under uncultured Bacillus sp. RNAcentral describes it as "bacterial SSU rRNA". It matches the Rfam family "Bacterial small subunit ribosomal RNA", at positions 496 to 795 of the family's 1533-position model. Lineage: Bacteria; Bacillati; Bacillota; Bacilli; Caryophanales; Bacillaceae. The record is from RNAcentral.